Molecule: long non-coding RNA, 707 nt
Filed under: Marmota monax (woodchuck)
Lineage: Eukaryota; Metazoa; Chordata; Mammalia; Rodentia; Sciuridae
Source: RNAcentral
AUCCCAACCAUCUGGACUGGCUAACACAACUACUACUCAUAGCAGCUGCUUCUGGGUUUAGGCAUAGUUGACUCCAGCAGCUCAACAAUGUCGUCACACUGUGGAUCCUUGUAUGUCUCUCAUUGUUACUUCCCUAUGUCUUGGCUCAGGCAUGCAUGUCCUCUCAUGGUGGCAAAGUGGUUGCUAGAAGCUCCAAACCUACAUCCUUACAAUUCCAAGUCCAGCAUAAACAUGCAAGAAUGAUUCCCUUUCAGAAGAUCUAACUUUGCCUCUCACUGACUUUGACUAGUGUGUGUCCCUUCAGUGAACAUUCACAUUGGUCAGUCUUGAGUCAAUGCUUAUCCCUGUAGGUAGUAUUGAUAUUGACCAAAUCAUCUGGACUGAGGGUGGGAAAACAGAUGAUUUCACAAAGAAAAAUCAAUUGCAAUUAUAAGAAAACAAUAGACAUAAAAUAAAAUUUAAAAAUGUUUUCUGGCUGCCCUAUUUCCAUAUAAACUGUUUUCCCCACAACUUUAAUUUCAAAAUCUGAUAAUCCACAUGUAUUCACCUUCUCCCCAGAGGCAAUUCAAACCUUGUCUAUUUAUUGCAUCAUCCUAUUCCAUCACAACUAGACAAGGUAAACUCUUUUCUGCCAGGCUAACAUGGACCAGCAAUCUUAGAAAAAAAGAUGUAAGCAAUGAACACAGAGUUAUGAAGUUAGAAUGAUA